This 253-nucleotide ribosomal RNA is filed under the name uncultured bacterium. RNAcentral describes it as "partial 16S ribosomal RNA". It matches the Rfam family "Bacterial small subunit ribosomal RNA", at positions 524 to 776 of the family's 1533-position model. The record is from RNAcentral.
UACGUAGGGUGCAAGCGUUGUCCGGAAUUAUUGGGCGUAAAGAGCUCGUAGGUGGCUUGUCACGUCGGGUGUGAAAUCCCAGGGCUUAACCCUGGGUCUGCAUUCGAUACGGGCUGGCUAGGGUCCUUCAGGGGAGACUGGAAUUCCUGGUGUAGCGGUGAAAUGCGUAGAUAUCAGGAGGAAUACCUAUGGCGAAAGCAGGUAUCUGGGCCAUCACUGACGCUGAGCUGCGAAAGCUAGGGGAGCAAACAGG